AACGCGAAGAACCUUACCUACCCUUGACAUCCUACGAACCCUAUAGAGAUAUGGGGGUGCCGAAAGGAGCGUAGAGACAGGUGCUGCAUGGCUGUCGUCAGCUCGUGUCGUGAGAUGUUGGGUUAAGUCCCGUAACGAGCGCAACCCUUGUCCUUAGUUGCCAGCACGUAAAGGUGGGAACUCUAAGGAGACUGCCGGUGAUAAACCGGAGGAAGGUGGGGAUGAGGUCAAGUCAUCAUGGCCUUUAUGGGUAGGGCCACACACGUGCUACAAUGGUUGUUACAAAGGGAAGCGAACCUGCGAAGGGGAGCAAAUCUCAAAAAGGCAAUCGUAGUCCGGAUUGGAGUCUGCAACUCGACUCCAUGAAGUUGGAAUCGCUAGUAAUCGCGGAUCAGAACGCCGCGGUGAAUACGUUCCCGGGCCUUGUACACACCGGAGUA
RNAcentral lists this ribosomal RNA (440 nucleotides) under uncultured bacterium. Its description in RNAcentral is "bacterial SSU rRNA". It matches the Rfam family "Bacterial small subunit ribosomal RNA", at positions 958 to 1398 of the family's 1533-position model. The record is from RNAcentral.